CUUGAGCUAUCAGAUCAGCUGGCUCUGCCCUGCUCUGGUUGGUAAUACUUGAUUUUGUCUUCUGCUGGAACUCAAACCUUUGGUUUGGUUUCUGACUGAUCAGUUAGUGUCACAGAUACUGGUUUGUAUUUUCACUGCAGUAAAUCUGUCCCAUCACUGCCGUGGCUUUGCAGUUAUGGUGGAGGCAAUCGUGGAAUUUGAAGAUCUUUGAAUUUCCUAAAUGUGCUCAAUGUUUGUGUUUGCCUCCCAGUGUCCAAGAUAUUAUUCCAUGGGAAGAUCAUCUUCAAUAUGAUCUCCUGGAUGAUGGUUUGAGUCUCCCACAGAGAGAUGUGGUUGUCCUGCUUCUCCAUGGCCUGGCCCAUCACUGACUCUGCAUUCUGAAGGUCUCUGGCUUGCUUGGAGCUGCCAAACUUUGGGUUCAGAUCUGGAAUUAGAUGGUUUUUAUUGAUGUCACUUGAAAAUCUGAUUGUCAACAUCAUGAAAACAGUGCUAGGAAAAGCCACAAAAUAUUGCACAAGACCCAGAAGGACUGAAAGUUGGAGGAUUUCUUUCAGGGGAUAUAUUGUUUUCACUGGUUUAUCAGACAGACCAUCACUUCCUGCAUCCCAGGGUUAUAAGGACAAGUUCAACUUGCAUCAUCCUUCUCCAUUUCCUCAGCUGGCAUUCAACUUCCAGUUGGAUGCAUCAUGUUUCCCAUUUCCUGGCAUCCCAAUAAAGUCUGGAUGAAUGAUGAGAGAGUCUGCUGGGAGAGUGAGUAAACAUCUCCUACUGUCUGGAAUGCAAGACGACUACUGUCUUAUCCUUUGGUACAGGUUGUUAAGAUAAAAUUACCCUAUAUAUCAACAGCACUGUCAAUGAAAUUAGAAAGGGCAUUCUACCUCCACACUGCCCCCGAGGGUUUGAGGAGGGAGGAGGGAAGGCAGUUGUUUCUUUGUUUAUUUGGUUUAUUCUUUUGCAGUGAAAGAAAGGAAGAAAAGGGGUUUGUUUUGGGUUGAGGAGGGAGAAGCUUUGUUUUGCUUCUUUUUAAUGCAAAUGAAAAAAAGAGGAGGAAAGCCAAGGAGAAUGUGCGAGGCAAGUUUGGGUACUUCACUGACUGUGCAAGCAGGAGAGGGAAAAAUUAUGGAUUGAUGAGCAAUGCCCCAGGACAACUGAAUGCAGUGGCAGCAAAGUUUGGGUGCAAGGAGAUCCUGGAGCUGCAGGUGGUGGCUCCAAGCAGGGCAGGGUCCCCAAGACAAGGACACCCCAGGCUUCUGUCCCCAUCCAGUGUGUGCUCUGAGCAAGGGCUGCUGCAAAAUGCUGCAGUUUGGGGAGAACCCUCUUGUACAUCCCUAUAAUCCACUGACCUGUCUGGGGUGUCUUUUAUCAAAUCUUGUUGCUGUUAGUUUUCCUGGGCUUUAGAGAGAUCUACUUCUGGAUUUUCUGGGAAUGUGAGACUCAUGAGUGUGCACUGGAUUGCCAAAAUACUAGAAAACACUGCAUAUGAUCUCUCUGUACUCAGAGAAAUCCAGUUCUUCUUGCAAUUAGGCUGUAUCACAAAAAUAAUUACCUGGUUUACAUUUGUUAUAUUAAUUGUGUCUUCAGCUGUCACUGCCCUUGAACCCCAGAGCCAUGAGAGUGGGAUCCAAAACUUAAACCCCAUUGCCUCUUUUCGACAAAAAAAAAUUGAUUCUCUGUUCCAGACACCUCUCCCAGAUGAUCCCUAAGCUGCUGGGCUGUGAUGGAGCUC
Junco hyemalis (dark-eyed junco) is the source of this 1726-nucleotide long non-coding RNA. The record is from Ensembl. Lineage: Eukaryota; Metazoa; Chordata; Aves; Passeriformes; Passerellidae.